AGUGAACGCUGGCGGUAGGCCUAACACAUGCAAGUCGAACGGCAGCACAGUAAGAGCUUGCUCUUACGGGUGGCGAGUGGCGGACGGGUGAGGAAUACAUAGGAAUCUACUUUUUCGUGGGGGAUAACGUAGGGAAACGUACGCUAAUACAGCAUACGACAUACGGGUGAAAGCAGGGGAUCUUCGGACCUUGCGCGUUUGAAUGAGCCGAUGUCGGAUUAGCUAGUUGGCGGGGUAAAGGCACACCAAGGCGACGAUACGUAGCUGGUCUGAGAGGAUGAUCGGCCACACUGGAACUGAGACACGGUCCAGACUCCUACGGGAGGCAGCAGUGGGGAAUAUUGCACAAUGGGCGCAAGCCUGAUCCAGCCAUACCGCGUGAGUGAAGAAGGCCUUCGGAUUGUAAAGCCCUGUUGUUAGGAAAGAAAAGCAGCAGGUUAAUACCCCGCUAUUCUGACGGUACCCAAAGAGUAAGCACCGGCUAACUUCGUG
This 492-nucleotide ribosomal RNA is filed under the name uncultured bacterium. RNAcentral's name for it is "partial 16S ribosomal RNA". It matches the Rfam family "Bacterial small subunit ribosomal RNA", at positions 29 to 507 of the family's 1533-position model. The record is from RNAcentral.